GCUACCGGGUGACCGGAUGCCGAUCUCGAAAACCUGUCCCAGUUCGGACUGGAGUCUGCAACCCGACUCCACGAAGUUGGAUUCGCUAGUAAUCGCGCAUCAGCCAUGGCGCGGUGAAUACGUUCCCGGGCCUUGUACACACCGCCCGUCAAGCCAUGGGGGCCGGGGGCGCCUGAAGUCCGGGACCGCGAGGACCGGCCUAGGGCGAAACUGGUGACUGGGGCUAAGUCGUAACAAGGUACC
RNAcentral lists this ribosomal RNA (243 nucleotides) under uncultured bacterium. Its description in RNAcentral is "partial 16S ribosomal RNA". It matches the Rfam family "Bacterial small subunit ribosomal RNA", at positions 1249 to 1500 of the family's 1533-position model. The record is from RNAcentral.